UUGCGCCUGUGGCGGGUCCGGCACGAUUCUUAAUAGGCUUCGCAGGCAGCCGGGUCGUGUACGAUCUUGUACAUCCAAGAAUUGUCUUGGAUUUAAUGAUUUCU
RNAcentral lists this non-coding RNA (104 nucleotides) under unclassified sequences. RNAcentral's name for it is "RT-5 RNA". It matches the Rfam family "RT-5 RNA". From Rfam's summary of the family: Clostridium (Firmicutes). Environment (Cow rumen (57)) The record is from Rfam by way of RNAcentral. RNAcentral also lists the same sequence under 1 other name.